Molecule: ribosomal RNA, 231 nt
Filed under: uncultured bacterium
Lineage: Bacteria
Description: partial 16S ribosomal RNA
Rfam family: Bacterial small subunit ribosomal RNA
Source: RNAcentral
CGGGUGAGUAACGCGUGGGUAACCUGCCUUGUACUGGGGGACAACAGUUGGAAACGACUGCUAAUACCGCAUAAGCGCACAGCUUCGCAUGAAGCAGUGUGAAAAACUCCGGUGGUAUGAGAUGGACCCGCGUCUGAUUAGCUAGUUGGUGAGGUAACGGCCCACCAAGGCAACGAUCAGUAGCCGACCUGAGAGGGUGACCGGCCACAUUGGGACUGAGACACGGCCCAG